GGCUAAGGACUAAACCCAGUGCCUCACACAUACUAGGCGAGCACUCUAUCACGGAGCCCCAGCCAGCCCCAGCCCCUCCCUAUAGCUCAUUUCUGCUCCCUCAUAGUCUGUUCCUCACACUCAUUCAGCUCUUUCCUGCCCCAGGGCCUUUGCAUGCACUGUUCCUUUUGUCUGGAGCCUGGUUUCCCCCAGAGCUUGCGAGGUCAACUCCUCUCAUCAUCGAUGGCUCAACUCAAAUGCCAAUUUCUUCCUUCCUUGGUUCACAUGAUGGUUUUUGCUCCCUCUCCCCCAAAUGCACACUCCAUGAGGUCGGGGCUCCCCCCCUCACCACCACACACCAAAGGCAGGGUGUGCAACGUGCCCAGGGUGCCGCAAGCACUCACAGAGCGUUUGUUGAGUGGACUAUGGCAGUGGUAACAAAUGCCAUAUUCCCCCACGUGACUCGGAGCCUCGGGUAGAUAUUUCCAGCCCCUCUCCACGUUUGCCCUGUACCAUGGCUGCAUUUGAGGGUGAGCGGGUCGGCUCUCUGCACACCCCAGCGAGCCCCCUGCCCCCUUCGUGCCGUAAACAUCAGGACCAUUUGCUGAGAGUCUGGAGAGAAACGGAACCUGGCAACUGUCACCAGAGCCGAGCCACGUCCCUGCCCCUCCCAGAGCUGCCUCCAGUUGGCACCGGUCUCCUUGGCCACGUCCUGGGCUCUGGGACCCUGAGGCGGCUCUGGGAGUCGGGAGCGGGAAGCGCUGCCUUCCAGAUCUCCGUUUCUGACCCAGACCCACAUCUGGAAGCUCCUCUCUGGGGGAGAGGCGGGGAUUGGUGGGGACUUUGCCGGCCUUUCUCCUCCAGGCCAGCUGAGCGCUGAGUCGGGAAACGCAAACCUCGGCCAGACGUGAGCAGCCCUUCCCUUUGCUCUGGGGACUAGAGGCAGGCAGCCUGGCUCAGCCAUCACUGCAGAGAUGCCCGCUGUGAUGCUGGCCAGCUGUGCCCCCUCCCACCCCAGCAAGUCACUCGACCUCUCUGAGCCCUGGUCUCCUGGGGUGAUAAGCCAGAGGCCCCGCCUGGUGCUCACGGCUGCUUGCAGGAGCCCAGCGGCUCCAGGCACAAAGGACGCUCUGACAAGACACAGGCAGCCUCUCCCGCCGUUAGCCCAGAGCCCAGCUCGGGACGUUUCUAAAAAUAUGUUUUAUUGGAUUUUUCCUUCUGAGCCCCAGAAGCGAUAUCUAUGUCCCUCCCAACAAGCCCAUCAGCAGGGAGAAACGUGCUGCCCGGUGAGUGAGUGUUGAGUGACUGGAUGAUCCCGGGAGGCCCGGAAUUCUCUGCCACCUCUGUCAGUCUCCCAAUGGCCUCCACGGCAGGCGGGACACUGGACGGAAUGACAGGAGCACGUUCCACCCGCUGGGAGGGAGAGGAGCACCCAGAGAAGACGGUGACCCAACAGCACUGGGGGGCCUGGAGCUGGCCCUGGAUCUGGGUGUCCACGGGGCACUCACUUCCUGACACUGGUCCCAUGGUUGGCUCCCGAGCUGGGCACACUAACAAAGACACAUGUCACCCUUGUCCCUUGCCAAUGCCCCAAAGGGACAGGGGUGGGUCCAGCAGCACAGGUGAUACCAGGAAAUCUCAGUGUCCACGUCUGCAGAGUGAGGAGGGUAGGAAUGUCGCCUGCUGAGAUUUGCUCUGAGGACGAAGCUGAAGAAGAGGAGGUGGCCACGGAGCUCCGGCGCCACAGGUUCCCAAAGCUCCGC
Molecule: non-coding RNA, 1742 nt
Organism: Ictidomys tridecemlineatus (thirteen-lined ground squirrel)
Lineage: Eukaryota; Metazoa; Chordata; Mammalia; Rodentia; Sciuridae
Source: RefSeq, a predicted model, not a curated record